CGUGGUCCUGUGAAACUAAUAUAUACACACGCAACACACGCCAACCAGCUCCUCGAUCUGCUCUCGAUAACUCUUGAACUCGCUUGACCGAGUAGAUAUAGGUAUACGUAUGCAUCGCAUACGAUCGAACUUGGUCUUGCGCUUUUAAUUUGUCAACCUCAAAGACAAUGAAGGAAAAGCGGGAAAAAGAUAGAGAAGAAGAAACAAGUUAAUAAGGGAAUUGGGUGGAACGACGGCGACAGCGGCGACAACAAUGGUGAUAGUGGCAGUGGGCAGUGGCAGUGACAGUGGGCAUGGCAGUGGCAGUGGCAGUGGCAGUGGCAGUGGCAGUGGCAGUGGCAGUGGCAGUGGCAGUGGCAGUGGCAGUGGCAGUGGCAGUGGCAGUGGCAGUGGCAGUGGCAGUGGCAGUGGCAGUGGGCAGUGGCAGUGGGCAGUGGCAGUAGGCAGUGGCAGUAGGCAGUGGCAUGGGCAGUGGGCAGUGGGCAGUGGCAGUGGCAGUGGCAGUGGCAGUGGCAGUGGCAGUGGCAGUGGCAGUAGGCAGUGGCAGUAGGCAGUGGCAGUGGCAGUGGCAGUGGCAGUGGCAGUGGCAGUGGCAGUGGCAGUGGCAGUGGUAGCGACUUUGACGGUAACGGUGAAAAUUACAGCGACGGCGGCGAAGUCAAAUAUGGGACAAAGGGAAUUUUAUUUGUCUAUGUCAAUCUCAAUUUUGGUUGACAAAUCACGAUUGCCUUCUAUUUUCACUCUAGUUAUUUGUCGACGGUGCGAGGAAAAAAUUAUAAAAUUAUAAAUGGAACCGAUCCUUUCUUUCGCAAUGCAUACGAAUAUUUUACGAUUUGAUUCGAUCAUUGUUCAAAGUCGACGUAGAAUUUCGAACGAAUACAUUUCUCGGUUUCUGUUUGUUUUUUGAAAUG
This is a long non-coding RNA of Bombus huntii, 911 nucleotides long. RefSeq lists it as uncharacterized. The transcript has 3 exons. The record is from RefSeq and is a predicted model, not a curated record. NCBI's taxonomy places the organism in Eukaryota, Metazoa, Arthropoda, Insecta, Hymenoptera, Apidae.